GGUAGGUUAGCUCAGGAGUUUGCAGCACGGUGCUGGUAACGCUGAGGACAUGGGUUCAAUUCCCAUACUUGCCA
This 74-nucleotide transfer RNA is filed under the name Poecilia formosa (Amazon molly). It matches the Rfam family "tRNA". Rfam says of the family: Transfer RNA (tRNA) molecules are approximately 80 nucleotides in length. Their secondary structure includes four short double-helical elements and three loops (D, anti-codon, and T loops). Lineage: Eukaryota; Metazoa; Chordata; Actinopteri; Cyprinodontiformes; Poeciliidae. The record is from Rfam by way of RNAcentral.